Mus musculus (house mouse) is the source of this 457-nucleotide long non-coding RNA. RefSeq annotates it as predicted gene, 30482. The record is from RefSeq and is a predicted model, not a curated record. NCBI's taxonomy places the organism in Eukaryota, Metazoa, Chordata, Mammalia, Rodentia, Muridae. The transcript has 5 exons.
AAGAGAUUGAAUCUUUGUCCAAGGUCACCCAGUAAGAGACACCAUUAAAGGAUGGAGCCCAGUUUCCCAGUAUUCAGUGAAACCUGCCAACCAGGAAAAGGACUGUUUAUCCUUUGAGGAUGUGGCUGUGUACUUCUCCUGGGAGGAAUGAACACUGCUUGAUGACUCUCAAAAGAUCCUGCACCAGACUGUGAUGUCAGAGAUCUGAACACUCAUGUCUUUGAUGGAGAGAGCCGCAUCUUUCUGACAGCUGGCCUAUGAAUACCAAGUCUUUCUGCCACAGUCUUGGAGUAUAAAAUACAGGUUAAAAACCAAGUCAAGUUUCACAACAGCUCUAUUUCUCUCAAUUGCAUCAAAGGCACACAGAGUUGAAAUUAAUGGACUAAACAAACACAUCUGGCCUGGGGUCAAGAGACUUAACACUGUCAGAUUCCCUCUGACUUGAUGACACUCUAAA